This is a long non-coding RNA of Mastomys coucha (southern multimammate mouse), 239 nucleotides long. RefSeq lists it as uncharacterized. The record is from RefSeq and is a predicted model, not a curated record. Lineage: Eukaryota; Metazoa; Chordata; Mammalia; Rodentia; Muridae. The transcript has 2 exons.
ACGUCACGCAGUAUUGGACCGCCCAUUCGCUGCCGUUGUCUGCCACUCAGGAAAUUCUAUGGAUGAUAGGUGACUGAGGUGAAGUGCCCGCCCCCCGCGUAAGAAAAGGAACACGGCGGCGCGUUUCCAUGGUAGCAUGGACGUCGCAGGCCCUCCCCCUAAUACAGCCAGAAUGACACAUGUUGUCUUCAUUUCAUAUACAUUACUUGUGGGAAUAAAAAGGACUGGCUUGAACGAAA